RNAcentral lists this ribosomal RNA (253 nucleotides) under uncultured bacterium. RNAcentral describes it as "partial 16S ribosomal RNA". It matches the Rfam family "Bacterial small subunit ribosomal RNA", at positions 524 to 776 of the family's 1533-position model. The record is from RNAcentral.
UACAGAGGGUGCGAGCGUUAAUCGGAAUUACUGGGCGUAAAGCGCUCGCAGGUGGUUCGAUGCGUCGUGCGUGAAAGACCCCGGCUCAACUGGGGAGUGUCGUGCGAUACGGUCGGACUGGAGGCCAGUAGGGGGAUGCGGAAUUCCGGGUGUAGUGGUGGAAUGCGUAGAGAUCCGGAGGAACACCAGCGGCGAAGGCGGCAUCCUGGACUGGUCCUGACACUCAUGAGCGAAAGCGUGGGGAGCGAUCCGG